Molecule: ribosomal RNA, 601 nt
Filed under: uncultured bacterium
Lineage: Bacteria
Description: bacterial SSU rRNA
Rfam family: Bacterial small subunit ribosomal RNA
Source: RNAcentral
ACACGGCCCAGACUCCUACGGGAGGCAGCAGUAGGGAAUCUUCGGCAAUGGGGGGAACCCUGACCGAGCAACGCCGCGUGAGUGAAGAAGGUUUUCGGAUCGUAAAGCUCUGUUGUUAAGGAAGAACGAGUGUGAGAAUGGAAAGUUCAUACUGUGACGGUACUUAACCAGAAAGGGACGGCUAACUACGUGCCAGCAGCCGCGGUAAUACGUAGGUCCCGAGCGUUGUCCGGAUUUAUUGGGCGUAAAGCGAGCGCAGGCGGUUAGAUAAGUCUGAAGUUAAAGGCAGUGGCUCAACCAUUGUAGGCUUUGGAAACUGUUUAACUUGAGUGCAGAAGGGGAGAGUGGAAUUCCAUGUGUAGCGGUGAAAUGCGUAGAUAUAUGGAGGAACACCGGUGGCGAAAGCGGCUCUCUGGUCUGUAACUGACGCUGAGGCUCGAAAGCGUGGGGAGCGAACAGGAUUAGAUACCCUGGUAGUCCACGCCGUAAACGAUGAGUGCUAGGUGUUAGGUCCUUUCCGGGACUUAGUGCCGCAGCUAACGCAUUAAGCACUCCGCCUGGGGAGUACGACCGCAAGGUGAAACUCAAAGGAAUUGACGGG